This 374-nucleotide RNase P RNA is filed under the name Rickettsiales bacterium. Its description in RNAcentral is "RNase P RNA component class A". It matches the Rfam family "Bacterial RNase P class A". Rfam says of the family: Ribonuclease P (RNase P) is a ubiquitous endoribonuclease, found in archaea, bacteria and eukarya as well as chloroplasts and mitochondria. Its best characterised activity is the generation of mature 5'-ends of tRNAs by cleaving the 5'-leader elements of precursor-tRNAs. Lineage: Bacteria; Pseudomonadati; Pseudomonadota; Alphaproteobacteria; Rickettsiales. The record is from RNAcentral.
UGAGUAGAACAGAUGAUCGCCCGUUUUGAAGUGAAAGCGGGAGGAAAGUCCGGACUCCCUGGGAGAGUAGUAAUGGCUAACGGCCAUGGGGAGUGAUCCCACGGAAAGUGCAACAGAAAACAAACCGCCCCUAGUGGACAGAGAUGUUCACUGGAGGUAAGGGUGAAAAAGUGAGGUAAGAGCUCACUGUGUCUGCAGUGAUGUAGGACAUUGGCAAACCCUACUAGGAGCAAUAUCAAGUCAACGCUUCGCUAAUGGGGCGAAGGCGUUCUCCCACGCUUGACGUUGUGGUGGAUAGCUUGAGGUCGCGAGCAAUCUCGACCCUAGAUUGAUGAUUAUCAUAUACAGAAUCCGGCUUACGUUCUGCUCACAGC